RNAcentral lists this ribosomal RNA (273 nucleotides) under uncultured bacterium. Its description in RNAcentral is "partial 16S ribosomal RNA". It matches the Rfam family "Bacterial small subunit ribosomal RNA", at positions 523 to 796 of the family's 1533-position model. The record is from RNAcentral.
AUACGGAGGGUGCGAGCGUUAAUCGGAAUCACUGGGCGUAAAGCGCGCGCAGGCGGCUAUUUAAGUUGGAUGUGAAAGCCUACGGCUCAACCGUAGAACUGCAUCCAAAACUAUUUAGCUAGAGUGUGGGAGAGGAAGAUGGAAUUAGUUGUGUAGGGAUAAAAUCCGUAGAGAUAACUAGGAAUACCAAAAGCGAAGGCAAUCUUCUGGAACACUACUGACGCUGAGGCGCGAAAGCGUGGGGAGCAAACAGGAUUAGAAACCCCAUAGUCC